RNAcentral lists this ribosomal RNA (99 nucleotides) under Mycoplasmatota bacterium. RNAcentral's name for it is "Tenericutes bacterium (anaerobic digester metagenome) partial 23S ribosomal RNA". It matches the Rfam family "Bacterial large subunit ribosomal RNA", at positions 2826 to 2925 of the family's 2925-position model. The record is from RNAcentral. Lineage: Bacteria; Bacillati; Mycoplasmatota.
GAGUAAGACCCCAGAAAGAUGAUCUGGUUGAUAGGCUAGGAGUGGAAGCGCAGUGAUGCGUGAAGCGGACUAGUACUAAUCGGUCGAGGAUUUAACCUC